This 795-nucleotide ribosomal RNA is filed under the name Triticum aestivum (bread wheat). RNAcentral's name for it is "partial small subunit ribosomal RNA". The record is from RNAcentral. Lineage: Eukaryota; Viridiplantae; Streptophyta; Magnoliopsida; Poales; Poaceae.
AUGGUCCAACUACAAAACUUCUUAUUUUUCAUUACUUCCAUGGUCGUGCCCCGUGGCACGGCAGCACCCGUACUAUUGAAAUGGUUCGUCGGUAGAGAUGUUCCCACUGGUGCCUCUUCUUCCAAUGGUACUAUAAUUCCUAUUCCUAUCCCUUUAUUCCCUUUUUUGGUCGAUCUACAUUUAAGGAAAUUCAUACGCUCCAUGGACAGAGCAAAACGUGGAGUGUUGGUCAAAGCAAGCCGCCCUAUUCUAUUACCAGACAAAAUGGAGAGAAGCUCAUCCGCUAGAAAUGCGUUAUUUCAUUUUGUUCCCGUUCUUCAUUUCCUUAUUAUCGAAUCCAUGGGGGACUUGUCAUAUUUAGAAUCUUUCUGCGGUCUGCUUUGUUUACAAUUCUUUCGUACUCUCUUCUCUUUACCACGCGAUAGGUCAGCGAAGCAUGAGUGGGCGCUCCAAAGUAAUGUCCAAACACUUCGGCCUAAGGGGAAUGAGCAACAAAAUGACAAGAUGAGGUGCCCCGGGCACCCCCAUAUAGAAAUAAGGGUCGAAGGUUUUGGGCCUGUAGCUUUCCCUGCCCCCCCCCCUCGUCGAGUGGUGCUUGUUUGGCGGGUGUGCCACCAAAAAAGCGGGCUUGAAGCUCUCGCCUUACCAAUGAGCCGACUGCUGAUGGCUGUUGGUCACGACUACUACAAAAAAGUGAAGAUGAAUCUUUCUAUUUCACAUGGAGGAGUGUGCAUCUUUAUGUUGGGUGUUCUUCUGUCGUCAACUAAUACAAAUAAGAUACAUUUCACUCAAUGA